GGCGGCGUAGCCAAGUGGUAAGGCAGAGGNNCAUCGGUUCGAUUCCGAUCGCCGCCUCCA
RNAcentral lists this transfer RNA (60 nucleotides) under Acidobacteriota bacterium. Its description in RNAcentral is "Acidobacteria bacterium (activated sludge metagenome) tRNA-OTHER". It matches the Rfam family "tRNA". From Rfam's summary of the family: Transfer RNA (tRNA) molecules are approximately 80 nucleotides in length. Their secondary structure includes four short double-helical elements and three loops (D, anti-codon, and T loops). The record is from RNAcentral. Lineage: Bacteria; Pseudomonadati; Acidobacteriota.